Nerophis ophidion (straightnose pipefish) is the source of this 3799-nucleotide long non-coding RNA. RefSeq lists it as uncharacterized. The record is from RefSeq and is a predicted model, not a curated record. The transcript is spliced from 3 exons. NCBI's taxonomy places the organism in Eukaryota, Metazoa, Chordata, Actinopteri, Syngnathiformes, Syngnathidae.
UAUGAUAAAUAAGUGCUAAAAAUAUUUUUGCUUGCGCGCUUUGGACGCUCACAUGAAUUAUUUGUGCCCCAGGUGUGCCCCAGUACAGUAUUAGGUCUAGUGACGCCCCUGCUCCACGGGUUUGUUGACGCCAGUGUCUCAGGGAAGUCGACGGCAGCUUUAUGGACGGCCCAAGCUCAGCUUUUCUCCGACAUCCAUCAGCUGAUUGAAAACCAAGAAGAAUGUCUCCCUUAUCUGCAGGGGGACAGUUUCACUUUAGAGAAUCCACAGCCCUCACAUUUUAAAGAGGAAGAGGAGGGAGAGUGUCUUGUAGGGCAGGAGGAGGCUGAUCUCAGCAAGUUUCCACUGACUGUUGUCUCUGUGAAGACUGAAGAGCAUGAAGACAAACCACCUGAGUCCUCACAGCUUCAUCACAGUCCAAACGUCCAGCAGGUGUCAGCAGAGAGUCAUGAAGAGAUUUCCUUCAAGCAGCAGGAGUGGAGCUCUAGUGUGGGACAGAAGGAGCUACAGGCCCCGUCCUACAUUAAAGAAGAGCAGCUUCAUGAUGAAGAUGAAGCUCAGUCCUUACAGCUUCAUCACAGUCAAAGUGAGGAGAACAGGGGGGCGAAGCUUGUAAGUCAACACAUCACAGAAGCUGAUGGAGAGCAUUGUGAAGAUAUAAAGUCAGAACCAGACAGCAUCUUUGCGCCACUGUCAGACAUGGACCACAUGAUGUCAGACUCUUCUGAUCACAGUGACCACAUCCAAAAACCUUUGAAGAGUAAAAAGGACUCUAAAGGUGAUGUGAGACAUCACACUAACAACAAACACUUUGACUGCUCUGAAUGUGGGAAAUCAUUUAGACGGAAGAGUAAUUUUAGAGAACACAUGGGAAUACAUACUGGAGAGAAACCUUUUACUUGCUCGGUUUGUAAGAAGAGUUUUUCCAGAAAGGUUGACAUGAUCAAACACAUGAGAACACACACUGGAGAGAAACCUUUUGCUUGCUCAGCUUGUGCUAAACAAUUCAACACUAAGUAUGAAAUUAUGUUACACAUGAGAAUACAUACUGGAGAAAAACCUUUUACUUGCUCUGUUUGUAAGAAUAGUUUCUCCACAAAGGUUGGCAUGACCAGACACAUGAGAAUACAUACUGAAGAGAAACCUUUUACUUGCUCUGUUUGUAGAAAGAGUUUCUCUUUAAAGUAUCACAUGACCGCACACACGAGAACACAUACUGGAGAGAAACCUUGUACUUGCUCUGUUUGCAAUAAAAGUUUCUCCAGAAAACAACACAUGACCAGACACAUGAGAACACACACUGGAGAGAAACCUUUUCCUUGCUCUGUUUGUAGAAAGAGUUUCUCUUUAAAGUAUCACAUGACCAUACACAUGAGAACACAUACUGGAGAGAAACCUUGUACUUGCCCUGUUUGUAAGAAGAGUUUCUCCAGAAAGCUUGACAUGUCCACGCACAUGAGAACACAUACUGGGGAGAAACCUUUUACUUGCCCUGUUUGUAAAAAGAGUUUCUCCAGAAAGCGUAACAUGACCACACACAUGAGAACAUGUGUGUGAUAAAACAUUCAAGAUUAAGUAUCAGGUCAGUAAACACAAGUGUGUAACAGUCAUGGAAGCUGCAGGGAUUUAAAAACACUUAAACAGUGAUUGUGCUAAAUGUUCUCUAAAAACACAGCAUGUUUAAUAUGAAUGUAUAUUUGAUGUUGUAUGUAGUGCCUCUCAUCUUCUGCUGUUAUAUGUUGUCCUGGAGUUACUUUUUAAGUUGUGUGCAUACAUUUAAUGUUAUUUAUGUAGUUAUUAUUGUAUUUUAUUUUCUUAUUUGUUUUUUUUUCCACACAUUUUUAAAAAAUGUAUUGAUGUUAUUAUCCAAUUAAAAGUAUAAAUGAAUAAAAUUGUGGACUCUGGUAGAUUAACAGCACUGUUACAUCAUGGAUGUUAAAGGCCUACUGAAAGCCACUACUACCGACCACACAGUCUGAUAGUUUAUAUAUCAAUGAUGAAAUAUUAACAUUGCAACACAUGCCAAUAUGGCCUUUUUAGUUUACAAAGUUGCAAUUUUAAUUUUGUAUCCUGUUGAAAACGUCAGUAUGAUGACUCGUGCGCGUGACGUCUUGGAUUGUAGCGUACAUUUUUUUCCAGCACGAUCCGAGCUAUAAGUAGUCUGCUUUCAUUGCAUAAUUACACAGUAUUCUGGACAUCUGUGUUGCUAAAUUUUUUGCAAUUUGUUCAAUUAAUAAUGGAGACGUCAAAGAAGAAAGACGUAGGUGGGAAGCGGUGUAUUGCAGCUGCCUGUAGCAACACAAACACAGCCGGUGUUUCCUUGUUUACAUUCCCGAAGGUGAAGCUUUACUAUGGAACAGAGCGGUCAAGCGAACAUGGUUCCCGACCACAUGCUAGCCGGCAGGUUUCGGUGAGAAAAUUGUGGUAAUAAGUAGGCUCUUACCGUAGACAUGAGCGGAGCUUGCGUCCUUCCUCGUGCCCCUGUCAAAAAGGCAGCAGGGCGGCAUAGCUCGGUUGGUAGAGCGGCCGUGCCAACAACUUGAGGGUUGCAGGUUCGAUCCCUGCUUCCGCCAUCCUAGUCACUGCCGUUGUGUCCUUGGGCAAGAUACUUUACCCACCUGCUCCCAGUGCCACCCACACUGGUUUAAAUGUAACUUAGAUAUUGGGUUUCACUAUGUAAAGCGCUUUGAGUCACUAGAGAAAAAGCGCUAUAUAAAUGUAAUUCACUUCACUUCCCUCAGAGACACUGGCGGUCACCACACCCGUGGCCACACCCCUCCGACUUUCAGGUACGACCAAAUAAUCUCACUACAACACAAGUAACACAAUAAGCAGAUAAGGGAUUUUCCAGAAUUAUCCUAGUAAAUGUGUCUAAUAACAUCUGGAACGCUCCCACUAGCCUGUCUUUUUUUUUUUUUUCUAGUCCUUCACUCUGUUCUUCAUCCACGAAUCCUUCAUCCUCGCUCAAAUUAAUGGGGAAAUCGUCGCUUUCUCGGUCUGAAUCGCUCUCGCUGCUGGUGGCCAUGAUUGUAAACAAUGUGAGGAUGUGAGGAGCCCUACAACUAGUCAUGUCACGCGCACAUCGGCCGCUACUUCCGAUACAGGCAAGGCUUUUUUAUUAGCGACCAAAAGUUGCACAUUUUAUCAUCGAUGUUCUCUACUAAAUCCUUUCAGCAAAAAUAUGGCAAAAUGAUCAAGUAUGACACAUAGAAUGGACCUGCUAUCCCCGUUUGAAUAAGAAAAUCAUUUCAGUAGGCCUUUAAGAGUUUAUGUCAUACUCUGCCAGUGCAAUUGGUUUGCCAACCCCAGAGAUGCGAGGUCACCAUUUCCCGGGUCUUCUUCUCUAUCAUCCGAGUCCCCGAGACGAUGGAUGUUGGGUAACCAUAUCAUUAGGAUUACCGCAAUACCAAAAUUGCCAAAUAUACAUAAAGUACAAAGACAAGACAGAACACACUUAUGGCUUCCUGUUCCUUUUUUCUGGCAGAUCAACCUCAUUCUCUGCCUCAGAUUGCAGGUCUGAGGUGUUGCAGCCGUUUCGAUAUUGUUGGAUUAUUUUUAAUGCGUCUUUGUAGUUGUCUAAAAUUGAAUAUGUUAAAAUUGUUGCGAUCCGCUACACGGAUCACUACAUUUUCUUGUUUAUUGUUUCUUUUCUGUACUACACUUUGUAGUCUGACCUUUUUAUUUCCUGUUUGGUUUGUCACCAUGGUUGUUCAUUGAUUUCACCUGCUACUCACGGUCCCGCACACCUGCUACGGAUAAUCACCUUCCCUAUAUAAGCCUUCCUCUCUUGUUUGUUCAG